Haliotis rubra (blacklip abalone) is the source of this 354-nucleotide long non-coding RNA. RefSeq lists it as uncharacterized. The transcript has 3 exons. NCBI's taxonomy places the organism in Eukaryota, Metazoa, Mollusca, Gastropoda, Lepetellida, Haliotidae. The record is from RefSeq and is a predicted model, not a curated record.
AGUAUCGGUACUGGAGGAAGAACCGGAGCAUCAUAUCCGGGUGUGGCAGUAGCCGUGGUGCUGAUCUCAACCGGAACUUUGACUCCAUGUGGGGAGGGUCAGGGUCGAGCGGGUUGUGCUCGUCAGACAGCUACAGAGGGCCGUCAGUGUUCUCGGAGAUAGAGACACAGAACAUUCGGGACAAGGUCAAGGACAUUCAGAAUGAGCGUGGACCAAUCAGUGCCACUCCUUCUCACAGCUCCUUCUGACGCCAUACGGUUUCGCCAAGAACACGUACCCUCCUAACAGGGAUCACAUACUCGAGACGUCGAAUUUGACGUCGAUGCGAUAUUUGCUUCUGACGGAAGAACGUAU